RNAcentral lists this transfer RNA (69 nucleotides) under Goniopora columna. RNAcentral's name for it is "tRNA-Met". It matches the Rfam family "tRNA". Rfam says of the family: Transfer RNA (tRNA) molecules are approximately 80 nucleotides in length. Their secondary structure includes four short double-helical elements and three loops (D, anti-codon, and T loops). Lineage: Eukaryota; Metazoa; Cnidaria; Anthozoa; Scleractinia; Poritidae. The record is from RNAcentral.
GUAGAGAAGACGAAUGGUAAGUCAUCGGGCUCAUGCCCCGAAGAAGGAGGUUCAAUUCCCCCCUCUACA